This 382-nucleotide ribosomal RNA is filed under the name uncultured eukaryote. Its description in RNAcentral is "partial 18S ribosomal RNA". It matches the Rfam family "Eukaryotic small subunit ribosomal RNA", at positions 592 to 976 of the family's 1831-position model. The record is from RNAcentral.
UGUAAGCGUAUACCAAAGUUGUUGCAGUUAAAACGCUCGUAGUCGGAAUUUGGCAGUUCCGGAUGUGUGCACGUCGUGUGCGCACUUCGCGGGGAUUGCUUUUGUGGUCUUGCGUAGGAUGAGGCACUUUUAUUAGUGAACGUCCUCACGCAACCACUUGUUACUGUGAGAAAAUCAGAGUGCUCAAAGCAGGCAUUUGCCGUGAAUGUAUUAGCAUGGAAUAAUAGAAUAGGACUUGGUUCUAUUUUGUUGGUUUGUUGGGACUGAGUAAUGAUUAAGAGGGACAGUUGGGGGCAUUUGUAUUUCGGUGCUAGAGGUGAAAUUCUUAGAUUACCGAAAGACAAACUGCUGCGAAAGCGUCUGCCAAGGAUGUUUUCAUUGA